RNAcentral lists this transfer RNA (72 nucleotides) under Nippostrongylus brasiliensis. It matches the Rfam family "tRNA". From Rfam's summary of the family: Transfer RNA (tRNA) molecules are approximately 80 nucleotides in length. Their secondary structure includes four short double-helical elements and three loops (D, anti-codon, and T loops). Lineage: Eukaryota; Metazoa; Nematoda; Chromadorea; Rhabditida; Heligmosomidae. The record is from Rfam by way of RNAcentral.
GUGUCAGUAGCACAAAGGCUAGUGCACAGGCCCGGAUAGUUUGAGACGCGGGUUCGAUUCCCGCCUGGGAUG